CGUAAACAAAGGGAAGCGAAGCGGUGACGCCUGGCAAAAUCCCAGAAAUAACGUCCCAGUUCGGAUUGUAGUCUGCAACCCGACUACAUGAAGCUGGAAUCGCUAGUAAUCGCGAAUCAGAAUGUCGCGGUGAAUACGUUCCCGGGUCUUGUACACACCGCCCGUCACACCAUGGGAGUCGGAAAUGCCCGAAGUCAGUGACCCAACCGCAAGGAGGGAGCUGCCGAAGGUGGAGCCGGUAACUGGGGUGAAGUCGUAACAAGGUAGC
Molecule: ribosomal RNA, 268 nt
Filed under: uncultured bacterium
Lineage: Bacteria
Description: partial 16S ribosomal RNA
Rfam family: Bacterial small subunit ribosomal RNA
Source: RNAcentral